RNAcentral lists this ribosomal RNA (331 nucleotides) under fungal sp. CL005. RNAcentral describes it as "LSU rRNA". It matches the Rfam family "Eukaryotic large subunit ribosomal RNA", at positions 329 to 671 of the family's 3401-position model. Lineage: Eukaryota; Fungi. The record is from RNAcentral.
UUAGACCGAUAGCGAACAAGUACCGUGAGGGAAAGAUGAAAAGCACUUUGGAAAGAGAGUUAAACAGUACGUGAAAUUGCUGAAAGGGAAACGCUUGAAGUCAGUCGCGUUAGCUAGAACUCAACCAGGCUUGCUUGGCGUAUUUUCUAGUUAACGGGCCAGCAUCAGUUUUGACCGCAGGAAAAGGGCCAGGGAAAUGUGGCAUCUUCGGAUGUGUUAUAGUCUCUGGUCGUAUACUGUGAUUGGGACUGAGGACCGCAGCACGCGCAAGCUGUGCUUAGGAUGCUGGCGUAAUGGCUUUAAACGACCCGUCUUGAAACACGGACCAAGA